AACGCGAAGAACCUUACCUGGGCUCGAAGCGCAGUGGACCGGGGUAGAAAUAUCCCUUUCUCGCAAGAGACUGCUGCGGAGGUGCUGCAUGGCUGUCGUCAGCUCGUGUCGUGAGAUGUUGGGUUAAGUCCCGCAACGAGCGCAACCCUUAUCCCUAGUUGCCAUCGGGUCAAGCCGGGCACUCUAGUGAAACCGCCCCGGAUAACGGGGAGGAAGGUGGGGAUGACGUCAAGUCCUCAUGGCCUUUAUGUCCAGGGCUACACACGUACUACAAUGGACGGCACAAUGAGUUGCAAACUCGCGAGAGGGAGCCAAUCUCAAAAAACCGUUCUCAGUUCGGAUUGCAGUCUGCAACUCGACUGCAUGAAGCUGGAAUCGCUAGUAAUCGCUGAUCAGCAAGCAGCGGUGAAUACGUUCCCGGGCCUUGUACACACCGGUACUA
This 442-nucleotide ribosomal RNA is filed under the name uncultured bacterium. Its description in RNAcentral is "bacterial SSU rRNA". It matches the Rfam family "Bacterial small subunit ribosomal RNA", at positions 958 to 1398 of the family's 1533-position model. The record is from RNAcentral.